This is a long non-coding RNA of Centruroides sculpturatus (bark scorpion), 663 nucleotides long. RefSeq lists it as uncharacterized. The transcript is spliced from 3 exons. Lineage: Eukaryota; Metazoa; Arthropoda; Arachnida; Scorpiones; Buthidae. The record is from RefSeq and is a predicted model, not a curated record.
UAUAUCGGUGUGGUAAGCAGAUAUCUAAAAAUUCUCUAAUUAGUCUCAGAAGAGGGGAGACCUAAUUUUUGCACUCGAUGAAAACGGAUAAGAUUGGAUAUAAUCUAAUAAUGUUAAUCUUUGCUAUCGUUACUUUUUGUCCGAGCAACACCGGGCUCAUCUGCUAGUAUUUUAAUAAUACUGUUUGAGAUCUGUGAUAAAAAUAUUAUUAGUUUAAAAUAUAUUUCCGCAGUUACCAUCCGGUUAUAAGAUAUUAAUAUUAUAUAAGAAAGUUUUAAUAAAAAUUCUGAAAAAUAAUCAUCUCUGACAAUUUCCGGCAACACUGCUCCCAACAUAUGUCCUAUGGUUACAAAAUUGGAAUGUGUUGUUAGUUAAGUUUGUUAUAAAUGAAAAGUAACAUUUUCAAUAAAUUUAAAGAAAGAUUUUUCAUAGUACUUAGUUUUAAUUACUUAACAUCGUGUUUAGUUUUUAUUUUUUUUAAGAGCAGCAAUGCAUACGAGUUUUAUUUCUAUCAACUUUGAUUAGAACAGAACUGAAUCUAUAGAAAUGAACAGUAAAUCUGGCAAUCUUCAAUGUGAUAUAUGCAGCAUAAAUUUUAUGACUAUACAUGAAAAAGAAGAACAUGAAUUUUCCCUUAUGCAUCAUAUUAGAUUAGAUCAGAGA